This 139-nucleotide ribosomal RNA is filed under the name uncultured eukaryote. RNAcentral describes it as "partial 18S ribosomal RNA". It matches the Rfam family "Eukaryotic small subunit ribosomal RNA", at positions 1299 to 1458 of the family's 1831-position model. The record is from RNAcentral.
UGGUGGAGCGAUUUGUCUGGUUAAUUCCGAUAACGAACGAGACUCUGGCCUAUUAAAUAGUUUCGCCGAUUCCGAUCUGUCGGCGUUAACUUCUUAGAGGGACAAGUGGCUUUUAGCCACGCGAGAUUGAGCAAUAACA